UAAAAAAGUCCAACAAAAUAAUUUUUGAGCUUUAAAAUCGAAAGUUCGGAGAUAUGAUUGCGAAUUUUAUACACUGUAUUUUUAAUGAAGAAUUAAGAAUUCAUUGGUACAGAUCGUAUUCAUUGUAUCGUAUCGUGCCAAUAAAAUAUUAGCAUGAUACAGCUUCCGUAUCGAUUACAUAGCUUAAAACCUUAUAUUUUUUAAAUUAAUAAAUAUUUUUUUUAAUAAAAUUCAAAAAAUUUGAUGCCAAUAUACAUAAUAAAUAAUUAGAAUAUUUUAUUCUUAAAAAAAUAAAUAUUUCAUACCACUAUGUAUCGUUUGCGAUUGAAACGCAACCGCA
RNAcentral lists this long non-coding RNA (340 nucleotides) under Ananas comosus (pineapple). RNAcentral describes it as "long non-coding RNA (ACOM_LNC015634)". Lineage: Eukaryota; Viridiplantae; Streptophyta; Magnoliopsida; Poales; Bromeliaceae. The record is from RNAcentral.